This 253-nucleotide ribosomal RNA is filed under the name uncultured bacterium. RNAcentral's name for it is "partial 16S ribosomal RNA". It matches the Rfam family "Bacterial small subunit ribosomal RNA", at positions 524 to 776 of the family's 1533-position model. The record is from RNAcentral.
UACGUAGGGUGCAAGCGUUGUCCGGAAUUAUUGGGCGUAAAGCGCACGUAGGCGGACUCUUAAGUCGGAGGUGAAAUCCUGGAGCUCAACUCCAGAACUGCCUUCGAUACUGAGAGUCUCGAGUCCGAGAGAGGUGAGUGGAACUGCGAGUGUAGAGGUGAAAUUCGUAGAUAUUCGCAAGAACACCAGUGGCGAAGGCGGCUCACUGGCUCGGUACUGACGCUGAGGUGCGAAAGCGUGGGGAGCAAACAGG